GAGGAAUGUAUAGCAAUAGCUUGCAUCAUUGUAGAAAUUGCAAGAUCAUGUCAGGUAGAAUUAUGAUAAUGACAUUGUCUGCCUAUGUGUCUUGACCAAAUUACGUGCCAGCAGUCGCGGUAAUACGUAGAAGAAGUGUUAUUCAUGUUUAAUCGGUUUAAAGGGUACCUAGACGGUAAAUCAAGCCUAAACUUAUAUGAAGGGACUAAUUUACUAGAGUUACUUAUGAGGGGGUAUUAAAGUACUGCUGGUGUAGAGAUGAAAUUCUGUCAUACCUCUUUUCAAUAGAAAAAUAAUGGCACAGGUAUAGGCGAAAGCAUCCCCUUAUGUGAUAACUGACGUUGAGGGACGAAGGCUUUGUGUAGCGAACAGGAUUAGAUACCCCAGUAGUCAAAGCAGAAAAUGAUGAAUGUCAUAGAUUAGAUAUAUAAGUUUAUUCUAUAAAUGAAAGUGUAAGCAUUCCACCUCAAGAGUAAUUUGGCAACAUUGGAACUGAAAUCAUUAGACCGUUUCUGAAACCAG
This 522-nucleotide ribosomal RNA is filed under the name Arctoparmelia centrifuga. Its description in RNAcentral is "mitochondrial SSU rRNA". It matches the Rfam family "Bacterial small subunit ribosomal RNA", at positions 407 to 929 of the family's 1533-position model. Lineage: Eukaryota; Fungi; Ascomycota; Lecanoromycetes; Lecanorales; Parmeliaceae. The record is from RNAcentral.